This 262-nucleotide long non-coding RNA is filed under the name Elaeis guineensis (African oil palm). RNAcentral's name for it is "long non-coding RNA (EGUI_LNC037149)". The record is from RNAcentral. Lineage: Eukaryota; Viridiplantae; Streptophyta; Magnoliopsida; Arecales; Arecaceae.
UGGUGCAUACGUAUCAGUAUAAAUAAAAAUUUAAUAAAUAAUAUUUUAAGUUUGUUACUAUGAUCUGUCAAGAUCUAAGAUCUAAGUAAUCACUAGUCCUCUUAGACUGGUGUAUGGACUUCUAUAUUUGCAGCUGUCUUGGUGCACAAUCCAGCUGCCACAACAUGUGAUCAAUUCAAUAAAAUUAAUUAAAUUAAUUUAAGCAUAGAAGUUUUACCAAUCUAUCAGCCACAAUAUGUGUGCCAAUGGAGUUGUCAAUGUG